UAACACACUUGGAUGAAGUAAACUAACCAUUAAAUUUGACGAAUAUUCAGGAUAUUCAUGAAUGAUGGUAUAUAUAUUUAAUGAUAUAGAAUAGAAUAAUCAAGUAAUGAGAAUAUGAAAGAAAGCAUUGUGGAAUUGAAGCACUUUUAUUGUUUAAUCACAAUUCCAGUGUCUUUCACUGUAUGACAGUAUUAGUUAUAAAAAAAACAUUAAUUUGAAAAACAACUGGGGAAAACCUAUUAAAAUUGGUGAUUACAUUAAAAAAGUAUAUUCUUUGAUUAUAAUCGAUAAUCAUUCACAAAAGUUCUCCGAUAAUCGAUAGUCGAUUUGGGUUCCCAACACUAGUGGCUGUGUCAUAAUGGGCACCUUCAUUACAGCUCUGUUAGGCAACCAGUAACCUGUGAUCUUGGGUUCGAAUCCAAUUUUGCCUCAGUCAUGUUUCUAGGUUUGUCUGUACCGAUACUCACGAGCUCCACCAAAGCAAUAAACCUGAGACCUGCAUCAUUUCGAGCUAUAUAUAGUUGUAUCCUGAGAAUAUGCAGAAUCCGUUGUCUUCAUCUACCUAUCGUCUUCCUGUUACAACAUGGUGGUGUCAUUUUCCUUGCUCUCCAUCUUAUUUCUCAACACUGACAUUACUCUCCACUGCUUUAGGUCUGAGCGAUGCAAAAUAUUUACAACCAGUACCAGUGGUCAAAUAGUCUGUGUUAGGGUUAGUCACUGAAUUGUGCAGAGUUGCUUCCCUUGAGUAGCUCAUGUGUUUCUACAGUUUGUUAAACAGCUUUGUCACUUAUGUUGGCAUAGCUCCGCUUCACACUAUCCCCUGUAAGUAUGUAUCCAUGUAACAUGAUGCCCAUGUUUUCUGACUAUCUGUCUCAGAACAGCUGAUUCAGCAGUAAAAGACAAUCACUCCUUGAUGAAUCCAAACUUUGUGACUGGCUUUUUCCAAAUGGCUUUGAUUUUACUGCUGAAAGUUAACAGGUGGCAUUACCACAGACAAAUAAAUGGCCUCAUCCUUAUGAUGUAGAAGUUGUGUGAGAAUGUAGAUGUGCUUGACUAACGAAUCAUGCAGUGUCAGUAUGUGUUAGUAUGUGUCAGUACACGUAAAACAGGCUCAAGGGGUGCACUCGUAUGUUCCUUGUCUUGUACACCCAGAUACUGAGGGUCCAGGGUCACUCAAACAUUCAUUGUCAUGUACACCCUGAUACUGAGGGUCCAAGGUGUACUCAAACAUUCAUUGUCUUGUACACCCUGAUACUGAAGGUCCAAGGUGUACUCAAACAUUCAUUGUCUUGUACACCCUGAUACUGAAGGUCCAAGGUGUAUUCAAACAUUCAUUGUUUUGUACAACCUGAUACUGAAGGUCCAAGGUGUAUUCAAACAUUCAUUGUCUUGUACAUCCUGAUACUGAAGGUCCAAGGUGUACUCAAACAUUCAUUGUCUUGUACACCCUGAUACUGAAGGUCCAAGGUGUACUCAAACAUUCAUUGUCUUGUACACCCUGAUACUGAAGGUCCAAGGUGUACUCAAACAUUCAUUGUCUUGUACACCCUAAUACUGAAGGUCCAAGGUGUACUCAAACAUUCAUUGUCCAGUACACCCUGAUACUGAAGGUCCAAGGUGUACUCAAACAUUCAUUGUCUUGUACACCCUGAUACUGAAGUUCCAAGGUGUACUCAAACAUUCAUUGUCCAGUACACCCUGAUACUGAAGGUCCGAGGUGUACUCAAACAUUCAUUGUCUUGUACACCCUGAUACUGAAGGUCCAAGGUGUACUCAAACAUUCAUUGUCUUGUACACCCUAAUACUGAAGGUCCAAGAUGUACUCAAACAUUCAUUGUCCAGUACACCCUGACACUGAAGGUCCAAGGUGUACUCAAACAUUCAUUGUCUUGUACACCCUGAUACUGAAGGUCCAAGGUGUACUCAAACAUUGUCUUGUACACCCUGAUACUGAAGUUCCAAGGUGUACUCAAACAUUCAUUGUCUUGUACACCCUGAUACUGAAGGUCCAAGGUGUACUCAAACAUUCAUUGUCUUGUACACCCUGAUACUGAAGUCCAAGGUGUACUCAAACAUUCAUUGUCUUGAACACCUCAAUAUCGAGAGUUGAUGUUGAUGCACUGAGACACUCUGUAGAUACAAAUUAGUUCCCAUUUCGUCAGUGUUCGUAAUAUCGCUGGGAAAUUGUUUGCGAUAUUUAGCAAUCUGACUUGGAUGCAUUGUGAGCUGGACCAUUAUCUAUUGUUUUAAGUCCUGUUGGCACCUGUAUAGUACCCACAGAUGUCACAUAAAUACACAUGUAUAUAUAUAUGAGGGCAUUAGUCUUUCUUUGGCAACAUGUUUACUGGUUUCUAUGGUGAUGGCUGAGGAUUCUGCUUCUGUUAUUUUAGCAAUGGCGAAUGAGUAAAAAAGUAUUAUUAUUUCACAAUCUUAAUCAAAGUGCAGCACCUUCGACAAGAACAGAAAGUCUGUGGUUCAAACCCUGGUGCAUCAUAUUCAAAGGUGUAUUUGUUGUUACCUUGCCUCACGAUCUGUGGGGCGGUGGGUUAGUCUGGUGGUUAAAGCGUCUGCUUGUCACGCCAAAGACACGGGUUCUAUUCUCCAUGUGGCCACAAUGUGUGAAGCCGAUUUCUGGUGUCCGCCGCCAUGACAUUGCUGGAAUAUUGCUAAAAGCGGCAUAAAACCAAACCCACUCACUCACUCAUGUUCUGCAUUAAGAGGUGUAUAAAGACAGUUAGGCUUAUAGUCAAUAUACUGUGACUCCAUGUUGAUCUGCGUCAUGGUAUCAUGCUAGAGGCCUUUACAUAAUCUUAUCGAUAAAACUUGGAUGAUGUUUUUGUCUUUCAUGAGAGUUAUAAUAUUAGCAUCUAUUUGUAAGAAAAUAUUAGUAUAUAUUAGUAUUAAUAUAAGUAUUUAGCUGAUCGGGUGAUGCUCUAUUAGUGUCUUUUACACCAAUGGUGUACAUACUCAUCAGUAUCAUGCACGGGUCUCGACAAUUACGCUUGUCACCUUCACAAGUGAAAGCAAAUGUUCAUCAGGACCAGUACCGUUGAUAGAUAAAUAUAGAAGAUCUAAGUUGUGAAUGGAAAGUUCUGAAAUAACUGAUAUUUUGCAGUAGUACAGACAUUCUAAGUAAUCCACUAGUGUUGUUAGACCAGGGCGGUGGCUAUCCCAGUGUUCGCUUGUCACGCCAAACACCCGAGUUCGAUUCUCCACAUGGGUACAAUGUGUGAAGCCCAUUUCUGGUGUUCCCAGCCGUGAUAUUGCUGGAAUAUGGCUGAAAGUGGCGUAAAACCAUAAUCACUAACUCACUAUGUCAGACCACAGGGGUUUGUAAUGCAAGAAAAAAGCAUCAAGAUGUAUAUAUAUUGUCAGUACAUGGAUCUUAGCUUUAUUUAAAAGAUUGCCUUUCAUAUAAUAUUAAGACCUUUGCAGUGACAAUAUAUGUUUUGAUGUUCAUGUUUUACGUUACAAGCCCCCCAGUGUGUUAGACAAGGAUUAAGACAACUGCGUCACUACAUCAGAAUGGUUUCUUUUAAAACUCUUGACCAGUGUAUCCAUAGCUUCUGAUGGCGCCUUUGUAUGGACAGAGAGCUGUGGUGCUGCAGUCUCUUACAGCAUUAUAUUUACAUAUAAAUUAUAUUCCUGAAAACCAGGAUAAUGAUGCCUCUAAGUUUAGUUGUUGAGAUAGUUGUCAAAGGCUUCAUUCAAAUGCUGAUUACAUUGAAUCAAAUAUUUAUAUGUCUUUGUUUGUUCUCUGUUAACUUCCGUUAUAUCGCUCAAACAAAUUCUUUAAAUUUAUAAAAAUGAUCAUAUAUCCUUUGUGCCAAUCAUACAUGUAGAUCAUGCAGAUCAUGAAGAUCAUGAAGAUCAAAGGUCUCAUUGGCUAAGUCCUUGCAAAGAUUAUUUUUUCGCAACGAAUGAAAUAGAUUGAACUAUUUUUAUAUAUCAUGCAAUCAUGUGUAGAUAGUUUUUCACGGUAGUGCUAAUUAUACUAUUCCACUUUUAAUGAGAUAUUUCUUUGUUAUCUCUCCAUGAUCUUCAAAUGUUCUGUUAUGUCGGGUGUAUAUUUGAAGAUAUCUCACAAAUGAUUAUCCCUUUGAAAAGUGGAGUAGUAUAUAUCAUUGGGUCAGGCAAAGAAUCGGGGUUCUUUUAGUUCGUGUGUUUGUACAAAAUUGUUGGUGGUAUAUCAUGGUGUCUAUGAUUGCUAGUAUAUACUACUCACAACAAGUUAGGGAACAUCGAAAAGAAGGCUGUGAUGCAGUGUCCACAGUCAAUUAACUUUAGAGAUGAAAAAAAAAAUAAGGUGUUCCUUAAUUUUUGUGUGUAGUGUAUAAUGACUCAUCGUGAAUGGCAGUGUUCAUGCUUAAGUUUUUUAAUAUAUAGUAUUCAUUUGUAGACUAUUUUAUGUUGAGAAAAUGAGUGAAAAUUGUUUGAUUUCUGAAUGAUUUUUGUUGAUGGUAUUAGCACACAAACUGAAUCAUUUUGUUGUUGUGUCCAGGGUCAUGUGUGCGGCUCAGAAAUCCUCCAUAUUAGUUCCUGAAGUCAGUCUCGUUUCCAUUUGACCAUUAUUUCUUUCAGAUUAUUUGUAUUUGGCAAAGCAUUUUUACUGUGCAAGUGUGUUAUAGAUGCUGAAUUACUAAGGAUUGUUGAGAUGUCAGUGUUUAAAAUUAUGGAUGGAAGUCUGGGAUGUCUUGUGUGGAUAAGUAUUAACAUUUCAGGGUCUUACUGUGUUCAAAGGACAUCUUACCACAUGGCUUACUGUUGAUACUAAAGGUUAAAUGGGCCAAAAAUCAGAAUGUGGAUUUUAGGGGAACAUGUAAAUUGUGGACUAAUAUCCGAAAAGAAAUUAUAUCAAAAGGGAUGCUAAACCCUGUGUUCAAAACCAUGGAUCAUAUAUCCCUAGGUACAAAUAUUCACUCAGAAACAGUUAAGGACUACAAAGUCUGUCAAAGCAUGGCAUGACAGAUUAACUAUAAUAAUACAAAAGAAUUGGGUGGUCCUUUACUUUUUUUGAGCAGUUUUAGAUCAAAACAUCCCUCUUACUUUCACUGGAUAAUAUAUAAGAUGGCCACAAAUGUAUUUAUUAGUAUGUGUUCAGAUUGGUAUCAUUUUGAAAUAUAUUUUACACUGAACUUGUACAUGUGUUAUAGAGAUUUUUACAUAUGUUUAUUGCCUUUAUAAUGUAUUGCAAGUACUGGGCAGUUUUUAGGGUUGAUUAUGAUGUCAAUGUUGACAGCGGGAGAUAUAUUAUUCAUGUUUAGGAUAUUAAAUAAUUUCUAAUA
Long non-coding RNA from Haliotis rubra (blacklip abalone), 5285 nucleotides. RefSeq lists it as uncharacterized. Lineage: Eukaryota; Metazoa; Mollusca; Gastropoda; Lepetellida; Haliotidae. The transcript is spliced from 2 exons. The record is from RefSeq and is a predicted model, not a curated record.